Molecule: ribosomal RNA, 292 nt
Filed under: uncultured prokaryote
Description: partial 16S ribosomal RNA
Rfam family: Bacterial small subunit ribosomal RNA
Source: RNAcentral
GUGCCAGCCGCCGCGGUAAUACGUAGGUGGCAAGCGUUGUCCGGAAUUAUUGGGCGUAAGGCGCGCGCAGGUGGUUCUUUAAGUCUGAUGUGAAAGCCCCCGGCUCAACCGGGGAGGGUCAUUGGAAACUGGGGAACUUGAGUGCAGAAGAGGAUAGUGGAAUUCCAAGUGUAGCGGUGAAAUGCGUAGAGAUUUGGAGGAACACCAGUGGCGAAGGCGACUGUCUGGUCUGUAACUGACACUGAGGCGAGAAAGCGUGGGGAGCAAACAGGAUUAGAUACCCCCGUAGUCC